Molecule: ribosomal RNA, 353 nt
Filed under: uncultured Bdellovibrionales bacterium
Lineage: Bacteria; Pseudomonadati; Bdellovibrionota; Bdellovibrionia; Bdellovibrionales
Description: bacterial SSU rRNA
Rfam family: Bacterial small subunit ribosomal RNA
Source: RNAcentral
CGAAGACAGGUGCUGCAUGGCUGUCGUCAGCUCGUGCCGUGAGGUGUUGGGUUAAGUCCCGUAACGAGCGCAACCCCUGCCUUUAGUUGCGACCGGUAACGCCGAGCACUCUAAAGGGACUGCCUGGGAUAACCAGGAGGAAGGCGGGGAUGACGUCAAGGCAGCAUGGCCCUUACGUCCAGGGCUACACACGUGCUACAAUGGCCGGUACAGAGGGAAGCAAUACCGCGAGGUGGAGCAAAUCCCAUAAAGCCGGCCUCAGUUCAGAUCGGAGGCUGCAACUCGCCUCCGUGAAGGCGGAAUCGCUAGUAAUCGCGGAUCAGCAGGCCGCGGUGAAUACGUUCCCGGGCCUU